RNAcentral lists this ribosomal RNA (708 nucleotides) under Erysiphe cf. trifoliorum. RNAcentral describes it as "partial 28S ribosomal RNA". It matches the Rfam family "Eukaryotic large subunit ribosomal RNA", at positions 85 to 806 of the family's 3401-position model. Lineage: Eukaryota; Fungi; Ascomycota; Leotiomycetes; Helotiales; Erysiphaceae. The record is from RNAcentral.
AACGGCGAGUGAAGCGGUAACAGCUCAAAUUUGAAAUCUGGCUCCUCUGGAGUCCGAGUUGUAAUUUGUAGAAGAUGCUUUGGGUUGUGGGUUCGGCCUAAGUUCCUUGGAACAGGACGUCAUAGAGGGUGAGAAUCCCGUAUGUGGCCGAGGCCCGCGCCUAUGUAAAGCUCUUUCAACGAGUCGAGUUGUUUGGGAAUGCAGCUCAAAAUGGGUGGUAAAUUUCAUCUAAAGCUAAAUAUGGGCCAGAGACCGAUAGCGCACAAGUAGAGUGAUCGAAAGAUGAAAAGCACUUUGGAAAGAGAGUUAAACAGUACGUGAAAUUGUUGAAAGGGAAGCGCUUGCACCCAGACUUGGGCGCUGCUGAUCACCUUGCGGUCUCCGCGAGUGCACUCGACAGCGCACAGGCCAGCAUCGGUUCGGGUGGCUGGAUAAAGGCCGUAGGAACGUAGCUCCCUUCGGGGCGUGUUAUAGCCUACGGUGCCAUGCAGCCCAGCCGGACCGAGGACCGCGCCUUCGGGCUAGGAUGCUGGCGUAAUGGGUGUAAGCGACCCGUCUUGAAACACGGACCAAGGAGUCUAACAUCUAUGCGAGUGUUUGGGUGGCAAACCCAUACGCGGAAUGAAAGUGAACGUAGGUGAGAACCCCUUGGGGGCGCAUCAUCGACCGAUCCUGAUGUCUUCGGAUGGAUUUGAGUAAGAGCAUAGC